AGCAGCCGCGGUAAUUCCAGCUCCAAUAGCGUAUAUUAAAGUUGUUGCAGUUAAAAAGCUCGUAGUUGAAUUUCGAGAUCAAUUUGUCGGUCGUGCCUCGGUACGUACUGGCAUUAUUGAUUUCUCCCUUCUGAAGAACCGCGAUGUCAUUAAUUUGGUGUCGUGGGGAAUUAGGACUGUUACUUUGAAAAAAUUAGAGUGUUUAAAGCAGGCGCGCGCUUGAAUACAUUAGCAUGGAAUAAUGAAAUAGGACGUUUGAUUCUAUUUUGUUGGUUUCUAGGAUCGACGUAAUGAUUAAUAGGGAUAGUUGGGGGCAUUAGUAUUCAAUUGUCAGAGGUUGAAAUUCUUGGAUUUAUUGAAGACUAACUACUGCGAAAGCAUUUGCCAAGGAUGUUUUCAUUAAUUAAGAACGAAAGUUAGGGGAUCGAAGACGAUCAGAUACCGUCGUAGUCUUAACCAUAAACUAUGCCGACUAGGGAUCGGAUGAUGUUAAUUUUUAAUGACUCAUUCGGCGCCUUAC
RNAcentral lists this ribosomal RNA (520 nucleotides) under uncultured Glomus. Its description in RNAcentral is "SSU rRNA". It matches the Rfam family "Eukaryotic small subunit ribosomal RNA", at positions 569 to 1091 of the family's 1831-position model. Lineage: Eukaryota; Fungi; Glomeromycota; Glomeromycetes; Glomerales; Glomeraceae. The record is from RNAcentral.